GGCGCGCAGCGGCCUCGUGUGGCUCUUCUCGCAGCUCUACCUGUACUCGUUCAUCAGCCUCUUCAUCUACAUGGUGCUCAGCCUCUUCAUCGCGCUCAUCACGGGCGCCUACGACACCAUCAAGGUGCUCCCGGCGCUCCCCGGGGUGCUCCCGGUCCUCCCCGCGCUCCCCGGGGUGCUCCCCGUGCUCCCGGGGUGCUCCCAGUCCUCCCCAGGGUGCUCCCCACUACUCCCCGGGGUGCUCCCAGUCCUCCCCAGGGUGCUCCCGGUGCUCCCCGCGCUCCCAGGGUGCUCCCAGUCCUCCCCGGGGUGCUCCCGGUCCUCCCCGGGGUGCUCCCAGUCCUCCCUGGGGUGCUCCCGGUGCUCCCCGCGCUCCCAGGGUGCUCCCAGUCCUCCCCGGGGUGCUCCUAGUCCUCCCCGGGGUGCUCCCGGUCCUCCCCGCGCUCCCUGGGGUGCUCCCGGUCCUCCCCGCGCUCCCCGGGGUGCUCCUAGUCCUCCCCGGGGUGCUCCCGGUCCUCCCCGCGCUCCCCAGGGUGCUCUCAGUCCUCCCUGUGCUCCCCGGGGUGCUCCCAGUCAUCCCUGGGUGCUCCCAGUCCUCCCUGGGGUGCUCCUCUCCGUCCUCCACACUCCCCGUGCUCCUCCUCCCCGUCCCCGUGCUCCCCCUCCGCCCCCGCGGUGCUCAGCCUCUUCACCGCGCUCAUCACGGGCGCCUACGACGCCAUCAAGGUGCACCCCGCGCUCCCCGGGGUGCUCCCCCGCACUCUCCGUGCUCCUCGCCGCUCCUCCCUGUCCCCGUGCUCCCCAGGGGUGCUCCUCCGUCUCCCCAUCCUCCUCCCUGUCCUCCUCCCCGUUGUCAUCCCCAUCAUCCCUGUCCCUCUCCUCGCUGUGCUCCUCGCCCUCCCCUUCAUUGUCCUCCUCCUCCUCCUCCCUGUCUUCAUCUCCAUCCUCCGCUCCCCGUCCUCCCCCAUCACCGUCCUCCCUGUCCACCCUCUCACCGUCCUCCCUCCUCUCCCUCACCUC
This 1020-nucleotide long non-coding RNA is filed under the name Meriones unguiculatus (Mongolian gerbil). RNAcentral's name for it is "lncRNA (ENSMUGG00000002477.1)". Lineage: Eukaryota; Metazoa; Chordata; Mammalia; Rodentia; Muridae. The record is from RNAcentral.